RNAcentral lists this unclassified non-coding RNA (206 nucleotides) under Hevea brasiliensis (rubber tree). Lineage: Eukaryota; Viridiplantae; Streptophyta; Magnoliopsida; Malpighiales; Euphorbiaceae. The record is from RNAcentral.
GCUCAAAGGAAGAGGAGGUGACGCAGUAGAGACAAUGUCUGUGUUACUAGCUACAGGUGACAGUGUAGCAGGUUUAGAUUCUGUAUUUGCAACGGAUGCUGCAUCUUGAGACACGGUGCUUGCAGGAUAUCUUUCUGCACUAGCACUUUCAGAGCCAUUGACUAGCCCUGAACCCCUGGGUGCAGAACUAGUGAAGGGUAUGUCAG